GGUCGCGCGGAUCUUCAGAGAUUAGAGUUUGAUCCUGGCUCAGGAUGAACGCUAGCGGCGUGCCUAAUGCAUGCAAGUCGGACGGCAGGCUUUGAGGAGGUCUAUGACCGAGACAAGGCCGAGAGUGGCGCACGGGUGAGUAAGACGUAGGUGACCUACCCAGGAGAGGGGGACAACCACUGGAAACGGUGGCUAAUACCGCGGAUGUUGGUUUGGUUAGGACGGACCAACUGAAGGUGGGUGGCUGGAGACAGCGACACAUGCUCCUGGAGGGGCCUGCGGGCCAUCAGCUAGUUGGUGGGGUAAGAGCCUACCAAGGCGAAGACGGCUAGGGGGCGUGAGAGCGCGACCCCCCACACUGGUACUGACACACGGACCAGAUACCUGCGGGUAGCAGCAGCAAGGAAUAUUGCGCAAUGGGGGCAACCCUGACGCAGCAACGCCGCGUGGAGGAAGACGUCUUUCGGGAUGUAAACUCCUUUUGUGGGGGAAGAAGGCGGCGGUCUAACGACCGCGAGGUGCUUGACGGUACCCCAAGAAAAAGGCCCGGCUAACUACGUGCCAGCAGCCGCGGUAAAACGUAGGGGUCGAGCGUUAUCCGGAAUUACUGGGCGUAAAGCGCGUGCAGGCGGCGUGGCAAGUGGGACGUGAAAGCUCCUGGCUCAACUGGGAGAGGACGUUCGAGACUGCCAGGCUCGAGAACGGUAGAGGCGAGUGGAAUUCCCGGUGUAGUGGUGAAAUGCGUAGAUAUCGGGAGGAACACCAGAGGCGAAGGCGGCUCGCUGGGCCGGUUCUGACGCUCAGACGCGAAAGCCAGGGGAGAGAACGGGAUUAGAAACCCCGGUAUUCCUGGCAGUAAACGAUGUCAACCAGGUGUAGGGGGUGUCAAAGCCUUCUGCGCUGCAGCUAACGCAGUAAGUUGACCGCCUGGGGAGUACGGGCCGCAAGGCUAAAACUCAAAGGAAUU
Molecule: ribosomal RNA, 967 nt
Filed under: uncultured bacterium
Lineage: Bacteria
Description: bacterial SSU rRNA
Rfam family: Bacterial small subunit ribosomal RNA
Source: RNAcentral